Molecule: ribosomal RNA, 92 nt
Filed under: Notechis scutatus (mainland tiger snake)
Lineage: Eukaryota; Metazoa; Chordata; Lepidosauria; Squamata; Elapidae
Source: RNAcentral
UUCUGGCUAGGUGGUUUUGGCUGAGAAGCUAAGCAGGUCAGGCCUAGUCUGUACUUGGAUGGGAGGCCUUCAGGGAACCCCAAGAACAGAGA